Molecule: ribosomal RNA, 254 nt
Filed under: uncultured bacterium
Lineage: Bacteria
Description: partial 16S ribosomal RNA
Rfam family: Bacterial small subunit ribosomal RNA
Source: RNAcentral
CACGUAGGGACCAAGCGUUGUCCGGAUUUAUUGGGCGUAAAGAGCUCGUAGGCGGUUCGAUAAGUCGGGUGUGAAACCUCCAGGCUCAACCUGGAGACGCCACCCGAUACUGUCGUGACUAGAGUCCAGUAGGGGAGCGUGGAAUUCCUGGUGUAGCGGUGAAAUGCGCAGAUAUCAGGAGGAACACCAGUGGCGAAGGCGGCGCUCUGGGCUGGAACUGACGCUGAGGAGCGAAAGCGUGGGGAGCGAACAGG